Molecule: long non-coding RNA, 1978 nt
Filed under: Sorghum bicolor (sorghum)
Lineage: Eukaryota; Viridiplantae; Streptophyta; Magnoliopsida; Poales; Poaceae
Description: long non-coding RNA (SBIC_LNC011594)
Source: RNAcentral
GGUUUGAUUAAUUACGAGAAUUUUUGCGUUCACUUUGCAAAUAGCCCCAGAAAAAAAAACCACGCUUAUGGUGAUUUUACCAAGUUAGAAUACUAAAUUGUUGGAGAGAUAUCUUUUUUUUGACUUGCCAAAUAAAAUAGCGACAUGCUAAAAACUAAUGAUUGCCAAAUAAAUUUUCAUAUCAUAGGAGUAAAGAGGGUGGCUGCAGCUUUCUUGACCAUGGUGGCAUAGCAAGUGGAUCCCAUACCAACUUGAGAAGAUUCCUGAAUUUUUUCCAUGCUGCAUUUGAUUGUUCCAUCUAUUUUAUCUUCCAUAGUUCCUGCUUCCAGAUUAGUAAAGAAGUAAUGUCCAGUCAAUGACUUUAGUAUUUGCAUGAGUUUCUUCACGCAGUAUGUUAUUUCACUUGAAUAACAGAACCAGUUUGAUGUGAGAAUAGGUGGGGCUCAUUAGUUUUUUUCAGUCUAAUUCACCAGAUUGUCAGAUCAAUUUAUCAAGACUUAGAAUGGUCUCAAUUUGAGUAUUUGUGCAAUACAAUUAUACAAAUGACUUAUAGUAAAAUAUUCUAUGAGGUGAUUGCUAAGUUUUGACAUGGUAAAUAUGUUCCUGAAUUAUAAAAGUUGAUGCUAAUUUAGUCUUCAAUAUUCAGGCCUUAAUUUGUGGUUUUGCUCCUGGUUCAGUAUUCAAGACUGAAAAUUUCUUGGAACUUUGAUGAACUUGGCAAAUGGUCCUACCAGCGUGAGCACCAGCCAAAAAUGGAGAGAAUAUAAUGUUACACACUAGAAUGCCAACUUUAUAUACACCCUUAAUUCGUGAUGGGAGAAUAAAUAAAUUCUAUCUGUAUGUUCUUCUAUCUGAAACAGUUUUGUACAAUGAUCUAGAUCAUCUGAAACUUCUGAAUAGGCCUAUUUUAAUUUCCCUUUAGAUUUGUGUAUAAUUUAGUGUUUGUUUGUCUUCUUGGCAUUGCGUGAUAGACUGAAGAUAGGUGCCUUAUUUUGUCAGGCAUUUUUGUUUUAUUAUUCCUUUAAUCGAUCUCUACAAUUUUGUUUUUCUUGCUUGUUUGUCCAGUAAGUCAGGUAUACGCCUACACUAACUACAAUCAAGUAUCUUAUUUUGUAUGGACUUGUUACUAAGGUUAAAGACAAAUGAUGGGCAUUUGUAGAUCAGUUGUGUUUCUCAACUUUUCUAUAAAGCAUUUGUUAAAACCAAAUAUACGUUCCCAAAUGAAGUACCGUAAUUUUCGUAUAGAUUUUUUUGUUAGUGGGUUAGGUUUGUUUUUUAGUUUUAUGAUUUAUUUUAGUUUUGUAAUUUUUUUUUCUAAAUGUUACCGUAGCGUUAGCACGAGCAAUAUACUCGUAUGGACAACAGAGCUAGUUCGAUCUCUAGAGCGCGCACAGAAUAUAGAGAAAUUGUUGGUGUGUUUAAAGAUAUAGAGAUUAAAUUUAAUUCAAAUGGUUGAAAGAAAACCAACCAAUUAAGCUAAUAAGCUCAACUUUAUUAGACUAAUAUUGUAUAUAGGUUCCACCGGGUAUAAUUAAGUGGUCACAAAGGAAGAUUAACGCCAUCAAAAAACAAUUACUGAAAUAAUGGAAAUUAAAUUGCCAAUUGGCUAGGUAAAAUUUGGAGCAUAUAAUCCAGUGUCCAGAAGCCGCCUUAAAGCAACUCUAAAAGGUUGGGUAAAAUUAUUAGCUAAAUUCUAUUGUUUAGCUAUUUUGUAAAAUAAAAAACUCCUAAAAAAAGAGAUUCCCAAUAGCCUUGCUAUUUUACACUCCAUUGUUUAGCUAUUUUGUAAAAUAAAAAACUCCUAAAAAAAGAGAUUCCCAAUAGCCUUGCUAUUUUACAAAGUCACGAGUGCUCGUAGUUGGCUAUAUACGACCACCAAAAAUAAAAAGAUAAUUAACUUUUUAUUUUAUAAACUCAGAUAACACAUCUACUGGUUAUAAAAUCUAAAAUAGCCUCCACAAAAAAAAAUCAAGCUGUU